This 220-nucleotide long non-coding RNA is filed under the name Musa acuminata (dwarf banana). RNAcentral describes it as "long non-coding RNA (MACU_LNC009264)". The record is from RNAcentral. Lineage: Eukaryota; Viridiplantae; Streptophyta; Magnoliopsida; Zingiberales; Musaceae.
CUUGAGGAUAUUAAGAUGGAAUGGCAGGAAGAUUCGGAGACCAGUAAGAUACAAAAAAAAUUAGAGGAAGCACCAAGCUCCGUGGCUCAUUACAAUCGGGACUCAAAAGAAUUAUGCUAUAAGGGACGCAUUGUGCUUAUGACAAAUUCUACUUGCAUCUUCAAGAGCAGAUUUUGGAUAAAGUUAUUCCAUAUGUAGGGUACUAAAUUGAAAAGGAGUA